UAACUUUAAAAUUUAACUGUGAUAACUUCCCAUCUCCAUCAACAUUCCCAGUAAACAGAAGUAAUCUAUACUUACAGUAAUAUUGCUUUCAAGUCUAUCUUCCAAAAUUUGCUACUUAAAGUGAAAAAAAAAAAAAAAAGUAAGGAAAGAAUUUGAAGAAUUCCCAGAAAUUGCAACAGGGUCCACUUCUGGGCUGAUGAAUAGCUCCUUGAGGAAAGUCAGCUCUCUUAUUAAUAUAACAUCUGGCUUGCAUCUUGCAUAAAUAAAAACACCAGAGCAGGAUAGAAAUAUCGGAAAAGGGAAGAAGGAGGAAGGAAUGUGUGUUUUCUAGCAUAAUAAUCUCUAACAGCCAAGAAAUCUAAUUAGAAGAAAUGUCAUCUCAUGGGAUUCUAGUCAAGAAAAUUCCACAGGAGAAGGCAAAGCCUCAGGGGACCACAACAAAAACAGUGAAUCAGUCCACCAAAAACACAUGGAAAUAAUGGUCAAUCUGUGGCUAGGAAUACCCUGUUGAAUCCAGACUGUGAUGUCGAAAUGUCAUUUGUCACUUCAAGAAAUAGGAACACCAUGGAGAACAGCUGAUUCCAGGUCUGGGACAUGAAAUGGCCAAGAUGAUUAUUGUCGAAGUAAUAAUGAAAUUAGAGAAUAACCAUUUUGCUUCUCCUAAUGUAUUAAUGGAUGAAGAUAUGAUCAUGAGUGGCUAUCCAAACCAUCAGGUGAAUGCAUUUGAGUCAGUUCUAGUGAGGUGGAUGAAACUGGAGCCUAUUAUACAGAAUGAAGUAAGUCAGAAAGAAAAACACCAAUACAGUAUAUUAAUGCACAUAUAUA
Bubalus bubalis (water buffalo) is the source of this 825-nucleotide long non-coding RNA. RefSeq lists it as uncharacterized. The record is from RefSeq and is a predicted model, not a curated record. The transcript has 3 exons. Lineage: Eukaryota; Metazoa; Chordata; Mammalia; Artiodactyla; Bovidae.